Molecule: ribosomal RNA, 469 nt
Filed under: uncultured bacterium
Lineage: Bacteria
Description: partial 16S ribosomal RNA
Rfam family: Bacterial small subunit ribosomal RNA
Source: RNAcentral
GACGAACGCUGGCGGCGUGCUUAACACAUGCAAGUCGAACGGAAAGGCCCUGCUUGCCGGGUGCUCGAGUGGCGAACGGGUGAGUAACACGUGGGUGAUCUGCCCCUUACUUUGGGAUAAGCCUGGGAAACUGGGUCUAAUACUGGAUAGGACCAUGCUGUAGGUGGUGUGGUGGAAAGAUUAGUUUCGGUAAGGGAUGAGCUCGCGGCCUAUCAGCUUGUUGGUGGGGUAAUGGCCUACCAAGGCGUCGACGGGUAGCCGGCCUGAGAGGGUGGACGGCCACAUUGGGACUGAGAGACGGCCCAGACUCCUACGGGAGGCAGCAGUGGGGAAUAUUGCACAAUGGGCGCAAGCCUGAUGCAGCGACGCCGCGGGGGGGAUGACGGCCUUCGGGUUGUAAACUCCUUUCAGCCAUGACGAAGCCCUUGUGGUGACGGUAGUGGUAGAAGAAGCACCGGCUAACUACGUG